Molecule: transfer RNA, 71 nt
Organism: Loxodonta africana (African savanna elephant)
Lineage: Eukaryota; Metazoa; Chordata; Mammalia; Proboscidea; Elephantidae
Rfam family: tRNA
About the family: Transfer RNA (tRNA) molecules are approximately 80 nucleotides in length. Their secondary structure includes four short double-helical elements and three loops (D, anti-codon, and T loops).
Source: Rfam
GCAUUGGUGGUUCAGUGGUAGAACUCCUGCCUUCCAUGGGGGAGACCCAGGUUCAACUGCCGACCAGUGUA